CCUACGGGUGGCAGCAGUGAGGAAUAUUGGUCAAUGGACGAGAGUCUGAACCAGCCAAGUAGCGUGAAGGAUGAAUGCCCUAUGGGUUGUAAACUUCUUUUAUAUGGGAAUAAAAUGUUCCACGUGUGGGCUUUUGUAUGUACGUUAUGAAUAAGGAUCGGCUAACUCAGUGCCAGCAGCCGCGGUAAUACGGAGGAUCCGAGCGUUAUCCGGAUUUAUUGGGUUGAAAGGGAGCGUAGGUGGAUUGUUAAGUCAGUUGUGAAAGUUUGCGGCCCAACCGUAGAAUUGCAGUUGAAACUGGCAGUCUUGAGUACAGUAGAGGUGGGCGGAAUUCGUGGUGUAGCGGUGAAAUGCUUAGAUAUCACGAAGAACUCCGAUGGCGAAGGCAGCCCCCUGGACUGAAACUGACACUGAGGCGCGAAAGUGUGGGUAUCAAACAGGAUUAGAUACCCGAGUAGUC
This 460-nucleotide ribosomal RNA is filed under the name uncultured bacterium. RNAcentral describes it as "partial 16S ribosomal RNA". It matches the Rfam family "Bacterial small subunit ribosomal RNA", at positions 338 to 795 of the family's 1533-position model. The record is from RNAcentral.